GCUCCCCUUAAGUCUACAAAGGUUAAAAAACGAACUGAUGGGCCUCCCGAGUGACGCGACCGGGAGACCGCCCAGCAUCGUCGCAGGGAUGUCCUUGUACCAGCGACUCCUGUGGCAAGCCGGGGGCAGUGCACGCUGAAAUCGUCACUAGGGGGUUCCUCCGACACAUUGGUUCGGCUGGCUUCCGGGUUAAGUGGGCAUUGUGUCAAGAAGCAGUGUGGCUUGGUUGGGUUGUGGUUCGGAAGAAACAACCUCGACCUUUGCCUCUCCCGAGUCCGUACGGGAGUUGCAGCGAUGAGACAGGACUGUUGGGGAGAAAAAGGGGUCAAAUACACAAAAUAAAAUACGACCUGAUGGCAGAGUAUAGGUUCUUAAAUUAAUCUUAAGUUUUUUUUUUUUUUACCUUAUAUUAUCCUAAAAGAUCAUACCUUUUAUUUUUAGAGUGUAGACUAGAAAGUUAGCUAACACAUGUUGAUUCCCCCUUGGACACAACUGAUGUGUCUAAUUGACUAUAUGUAUGUGUUUAUCUGUAGAAAUCCUGACUUCUCAGCUGGAUUUUGUGAACACAAACUGGAGUCCAGAUUUUGAAACCAUCAGAAGACAUGCAGUGGAUGUGACUCUAGACCCUGAGUCUGCACAUCGU
Molecule: long non-coding RNA, 643 nt
Organism: Oncorhynchus keta (chum salmon)
Lineage: Eukaryota; Metazoa; Chordata; Actinopteri; Salmoniformes; Salmonidae
Exons: 4
Source: RefSeq, a predicted model, not a curated record